GUUCUGCAUGACAGUGCUUGUGUCUUUAACACGUCUUUUGUGCGGCAAGUUCUGCCCUAAGCUUUGCUAUGGAUCUCCCAUCGAGGUCAAUGGAUGUGGUCUCUCCUACCAGGUCCAAGAUGUUGCCAUAUCAAUGCUACAUCUGGAUAGCGGGAUUCACAGGACCUGUUGGGCACAGCUUCCUCUCCCUCCCUGAAGGGGCAGGCAUGGGAUGCUUCCUGCCCUCCACGAG
Molecule: long non-coding RNA, 232 nt
Filed under: Calidris pugnax (ruff)
Lineage: Eukaryota; Metazoa; Chordata; Aves; Charadriiformes; Scolopacidae
Description: lncRNA (ENSCPUG00000002632.1)
Source: RNAcentral